CUUAAAGUGAAUUAUUUUUAAAUAAGAGUGUAAGUUGAAAUAGGAUUUGGUGUUAAAAUGUGUGGAGGUUUUACUUGUUCGAAAAAUGCGCUAAUUGCGCUCAACAUUUUGUAUGUGAUGGUGGGAUUCCUGUUGAUUGGCGUUGGCGUGUAUGCGCGUGCAGCUUCCAUUGUCACAAAUCUACCAAUUGUGGGUGGUAUUUUAGCCUGUGGCGUCAUAUUGAUAUUAAUAUCAAUACUCGGACUGAUCGGUGCAGUGAAACAUCAUCAAGUGAUGCUGUUUUUCUACAUGAUCAUUCUCUUCAUGCUCUUCCUCAUUCAAUUCUCCAUUGCCAGCUCUUGCUUGGCUGUUAAUUCUGAGCAGCAAAAAGAGUUCGCUGAGGAGGGUUGGAAUAAUGUACCAGAUUCUAUGCGUCAACAAGUGCAGGAUACAUUCACUUGCUGUGGCUUUAAUUCAACACAUACAGGCACAACAUGUGAAGCAGUCACUAAGAAAUGCUGUCCCGAUUACAUGGAAAAUUGCGCCUGCCCACCGUGUCUGCCCGCUUUGGAAGAUAAGAUCAGCUAUGCCUUUAAAUUGUGCGGCGGUUUGGGAAUUUUCUUCAGCUUCACUGAGUUCAUUGGUGUAUGGCUAACAGUUCGUUAUCGCAAUCAGAAAGAUCCACGCGGUUUGCCGAGUGCAUUUCUUUAAAAUGUCUUGCCCGACAAGAAAUUUAACAACUAAUAAUGCAUAUUUAAACAAUACAUAUAUAUCAUACUAAUACGCAUUCAUACACACAUAACUCAUUCACGCUUCAUUCUUUAUCCUAAAAAACAAAAAAAUCGAAACCGUAACCAACGUCAUAGGUUUUCAUGCAUUUAUAUAUAUAGAGAUACAAUCAUAACUGUUUACGGAAAUGAUUCAUAUUCAUACAUAUAUGUACAUAUAGCUAUAAAUCUAAAUAUAUAUAAAAUGACACAUAUUUAAUGAUAACUAUAAAUGUAUUUUAAACAUAACAGAAAAUGUUUGCCACAAUUUUGGCAACUUUUUUAAUAACUGUAAAAGUGAAAAUCGUAAAACUGGGAUUUAAUCAUAAGCCAGGUAUCAAAUGUAUGUACGUUGCCGCUGAUCACUAGUACUGUUUUUUGGAUUGGGCAUGCAAUUAAUAACACCACCUUAGUAUACACUCAAAAAUUUACAAUAUAUAUGCACUGUAACAGCAUUUUCAAGUGGAUUAUACAGCUGAGUUUAAACCACAACCAUCAUCAAUCUUAUACUACAUACCUAUACGAGUAUUGUACUUAAAUACUAGGGUACUGGCAGUCUUCUUGGCGCGUCGCUAUCGCAAUCAACACGAUCCAAACUAUCCACCAGCGCGCGCAAUUUUCCCACACAAUUACCAGUAUUAGUGAAAAAUCAUAAAAUGAGUUUCAAAUGAAAGCCGUUAGCGCAAAAAACAAUUAUAUAAAUUAAGCUUUAAGUUUGCGCAAGCGUAUAUAGUUUGGCUUGGAACCGUUUUAGCAAACGCGAACAAUUCACUAACACUUCCACACAUAAAUGCAAUUCAAAAUGUUGCUAUACAUUUCGUUUACUUCCUUUUAGUCACAAUUUAUUAGUUGGCAUUUGAAGAUUUCAUAUUUUAUGUAUACUUAUUUGGUUGUAAUUUUUGUGUUCAAACUGCGCUUGCAUAUAUUUAGUAAAAUUAUGUUUAAAUUAAGUUUACACCAGCUAUAUUGAUUUGAUUCUGUAAUAUUCUAGUGAUUUUUAUGUACUAAAGCAAAUUGUAUUUACUUUUGUUUACAAUUUGUUGAAUUUAGUUCAACUUUUUGAGAUUAUUAUUUUUUAAAUAAAAUUCAUAAUUUAAAUAGCAUAAUUGUAAUUUUGUGUAUGGGUUGCUAAAACAAAAAAUACUAUAAAUAUAUACAUACAUGUAUAAACCUAACAUGUACUAUCUAUGUUUGCUCAAUAGCUCUAGUUUAAACAUAUAUGUAUUGGUUGUAUGUAGAUUUUAUUGUAAAUGUUCCUUUAAUUUUAAACAACUACCCACAGCACUGAAGGCAAUCAUAGAAAAAUGUGUAGACAUUAUUGAUAAAAUAUUUCCAGCAUAAUGAUAUAACGAAAACCUAAUUAUUAAACUCAUUAAAUUAAUACCAAGCUUCCUUGCAAACAGCUGCUUUAUUGUGGUAUACAGACACCGUUCUCCGUUAAAAAAUUUUGCUAAUUUCUAUAAAAUUUUCAAAAAUCAUGCAUAACACCUUCACCUUUACACUCGAUACAUAUGUACAUGUUUAUACACAACAUUUUUAAGAUUGUAUGGUCAUUUGCAAAUAACAUACUUAUACAUACAUAUAUACAUAUACGAUGAAGUACGAUAAUAUUCUCUGUAUUCUGUGCUGUGAUUGAAAUAAAUAUGAUCUUUAAACUGUA
Zeugodacus cucurbitae (melon fly) is the source of this 2406-nucleotide RNA transcript. It is a transcript of the gene named tetraspanin-13, with no coding region annotated. NCBI's taxonomy places the organism in Eukaryota, Metazoa, Arthropoda, Insecta, Diptera, Tephritidae. The record is from RefSeq and is a predicted model, not a curated record. The transcript has 6 exons.